AGAUUGAAGCAGCUUCAUCUCAUUCCUGGUUCAUCCUGAUUCCCUCAGUGGCUUGCUCCUGCAUUAGUAAUGUAAAACUGGCCCAAAAGGGUUUAAAAUUGUCAGAAGUUGAUCUUGAUCAGUUCAAAUAUUUUUUGACAAAGAAAAUCAGUUCUGGUCAGUUCAAAUCUAUUUUGACCAGUUUAAACCAAUUCUGCAGAACUCGAGCCUGUGGUCGGUAAACCCAGGAAGAUGGCUGAAGACUAUGCUGAUUCAAGCCAAAGCAAGGAAUCAGAGAAAGGUAAGAUUCAUUAAGACUUGGGUGAAAAGAGUUAACAUGGGCAGAAUCCUGGAAGACUUCAAGAAGAAGGUGGAAUUCAAACGGAGUCCUGAAGAAUAGGUAAGGUUUUUCUAGGGGAAAAAUAUAGGUUAGAUCAUAACCUUUUUAGUUUCUACAUGUCAAUGAUACUACCCUAG
This 456-nucleotide long non-coding RNA is filed under the name Homo sapiens (human). RNAcentral's name for it is "HSALNT0408117". The record is from RNAcentral. Lineage: Eukaryota; Metazoa; Chordata; Mammalia; Primates; Hominidae.